Molecule: ribosomal RNA, 253 nt
Filed under: uncultured bacterium
Lineage: Bacteria
Description: partial 16S ribosomal RNA
Rfam family: Bacterial small subunit ribosomal RNA
Source: RNAcentral
UACAGAGGUCCCAAGCGUUGUUCGGAUUCACUGGGCGUAAAGGGUGCGUAGGUGGUGAGGUAAGUCGGAUGUGAAAUCUCCGAGCUCAACUCGGAAAUGGCAUUGGAAACUACCUUGCUAGAGGGUUGGAGGGGGGACUGGAAUACUUGGUGUAGCAGUGAAAUGCGUAGAUAUCAGGAGGAACACCGAUGGCGAAGGCAGGUCUCUGGGCCGUAACUGACGCUGAGGAGCGAAAGCGUGGGGAGCGAACAGG